GAUGCGACCAAUAGGCGACUGAAAGGCAUUUGUCUAGUAAAUAAUAAUGUUACGAAAUUACAUUACGCUGCUUGACAAACAAUUCUAAACUAGGUUUAAAAAUACUGAGAAAUUAAUAAGUUUAAGUAAAAGAUCUGCGCCUUUAACCUUCCGCAGAGCUGUUAAACGCUCUUCUGCAUCCCUGGUCUAGACAUCCUAACUGAUGGAAACGGACAUAAUUUGCAUGGUAUUUGUUUCUACCAUUGCGGUAAAAAUCCCAUAUUCAGACUGGAAACAUUUUGGAAUCAAUAUAAUGUGCAAAAGAUCAUUUAAAAAGAAUAGCGAUCUGACUCUCGAUCCGGAAAUUAGGUAAUAACUGCUACAGGCCUAACUAUUACACUAUUACUCAGACAAUAUUCUGGGUGGUUGGGGCUCUGUGCUGGACAGAAAGCUUUUUUUGUUUUGUUAUCUUAGAAAUUACAACCCCCAGUUAAACCCCCAUAAUCAGAAAUUUUUUUUAAGAACAAGAUGCUGAGAAUGAAGAGAAAAGGCAGAAUUGAUAGGGACAGAGGAAAAGGCCCGGCUAGGAAACGGUUAAAAGUCAAAAGGUUUGAUCUUGUGUAUCCUGAACCACCUGGUCCCCAGACAAGUCAGGUUAACUGUAUGUUGGCUGAUCCUGACUUGGCCAUGCAGACCAGGACAACUUCAGAGAAGCCAAGGAGAGGUGUCCCGCUGCCAACACCGAAGAUGGAGGACAAAGGAACACAAUCUGAUAUUGUGUCUAAAAGGAAAAGGAAGACUGUUUUCCAAGAUUUGGAUUCAGACAACCUCAGGCCUGCUAAGAAGAUCAAGGUGGCCAUUCCAAGCAGCGCAUUGGACCCAGCCAACUCCUCUGACCACUCUGCAUCUACAGCAUACACAUCUGCUAGUAGCGAGCAGGCCGGCUCCAGCUGUUCUGACCUGUGCUCUUUAUGCAAGGCCAAAGCCCGUCGUAACCCUCAUCGUGGAGGCCUGGUUCUUGUGCUCAGGGAAGUCUCCAAAAACUUGAAUAGCCUGAAAUAGCGUGGGAAAUAUGCUGGUACAAGGAGGCUGUGGCUAUGUCUUUGAAGGAACACGAAGGAUAGAUGGGAAAGAAGUAAUUACCAUCCCUCUUAUUCCUUUCUCUUUAGUGUGGUUUGUUCAUAGCAUGAAACAGAACCACAAUUAUGUUGACUAUUAACAAUGUAUUUCUCUCUUCACUUAGGUAGCUAUUAAGUACAUCCCAAAGUGUGAAUUGGACUACAUCACAGUCAUAAGUAGAGUCUGAAUAAUGUUAAUCAGUGAUACCUUACAAGCAAAAGUAAUGUCAUGUAAUUAUGAUUUAGAGCAUCAGCCUGCCUAGCAAACACAUGUACAGUCAAGUCAGACCAAUAUAUAAAUGCACUGCGCUAAAGUCGUUAAAAUGUGUUAUUCAACCUCCUAUUUAGCCUGGAACCAUCUGCCGUCAUCCUCUGGAGGUCGUUCUGAUGCUCUUGGUGAGCCAGCCCCCAGUCUGUGACAAUGUGGUGGAGCUGUUGGACUGGUACGAGCUUCCCCAAAUUAUCGUCCUGGUCCUUGAGCGUCCCACACCCUGCAUGGACCUGUCUGACUACUGCAUGGCCAUGGGAGGGAAGCUGGAUCAGGCCGUAGCGAGGGACAUCAUGCAGCACUGCCAGAGCCGUAGCGUCUUCCACCGCGACAUCAAAAUGGAGAACCUGCUGGUGGAGAACCUGCCGCGACACUAUGAAAGUCAAGCUCAUCGACUUUGGCUGCGGGGAUCUACUGAGAGCUCGGUCUUACCGGGAGAUUGCAGGUACUGCUGAGUACAUUGCCCCUGAGUGGUUUCUGGAAGGAAGAUACCAAGGGAAUGAAGCCACUGUCUGGUCCCUAGGUGUUCUUCUUUUUGGCAUGGUCAACGGUAAGCUGCCCUUCAGGGAGGACUCUGAGAUUGUCAAAGGGUGCAUGCGCUUCAAUAGAGGGAUCUCUAAAGAAUGCAGGAAUUUGGUCCGUUUGUGCCUUAUGAGAGACCCGUGCAAAAGACCCAACCUGGAGCAGAUCCUCUCUCACAGCUGGAUGUCAGACUUGUCAUAACUUGACCCAAAGUCGAACAAUGGUUAGAUGUAAGUGUCCUCUGCUAAUGAUAGACAUUCAUUACUGGUAGUCAUGAAGCAAUGUAAUCUUACCCAUCAAAGCAAAACCUUUAGAAAUUAUUUACAAUUUUCUAACAGAUUCUUCUGCAAUUUUAUAAACUCCCAACCGUACCCAAACUGUCACUUAUCUUGUGUGGACAAUCAAACUCACCUCCAAUGGGAUAAAUUAGGGAUAGCAUAAAACAGACAGAAAUCAACUAAACAUCACAUUUGAUCUUCUGCAAUCAACUGGGAAGGAUAGGAAACUCAAAGCUGCUCUACAAGAAACACUCUUGUGCAACCUGAAGGGAAACUCCAAUUCUAGAACAGGAAAAUACCUUUGCAAGACUCCUCAGUUCUGCUCCUGUUUUGGUGAAGAAGCUUGAAGAGGAGAAUGUAAUAGGGAUGAUACUUGAAGACUUGAAGGUUUUCAUUCUACCCCUUUACAACCUACCUUCGCUUUUUGACUGAAUUCAACAGAGAGGAUACAGAAACUCUCCAUAAAAGAACAACUUAAUAUGUUUCCACAGACUGCACUCAUUCUAACAUCAGUGUUUUAGAACUGAACUGAGAGAGAACUGGACCUUCAGAAAGACACCAAUGUGACCAGUUUGCAUCCUUUGUACUGCACAGACUUUGAGAGAUUGUUAAGGGAUGUGGUUGGAAAUGUUGCUACUUAAGAACUGACAACCAAACUACCCCUUUACAAAACCUUCCCUUUUACUAGCUGAUCGAGGAAUGACAAAGAGUUUUACUACCAUUGAUCAUCCUGGUGCCCAGCUCUCAACCAUUGUGGCCCUGAGUGCGAGUGAUGUCUGCGCAGGGUGUGCGGCAUCAUCAGAGACCCUUCACACCCAUGCCACAAACUGCUUGCCCCCCUACCAUCAGGCAGGCGGUACAGGUCUAUUCGUUCCCACACCAGCAGGCUCAGGAACAGUUUCUUCCCAUCUACUGUAACCCUGCUGAACUUAACAAAAGUUAAGAAAAUAAAUUAAGCAUCUGAAAUUUUUAUGUACCAUUAUAUGUUUGAUAUGAAAUGUUUUCUAUAUAUAUACUGACCUACAAAGGCAAAGGCAAAAGACCUUAACUCGCCAGAGUGUAGAACUGAGAAAAAUGACUUUAAAGUUGUUUUGUUGUCCAGCAGGCAGAAUAUUGGAAAUGUGGCAAUUCGUUGUUUUUUUUAACAAAGUUAUUAAUCUACACAAAAAUCUGGAGCUCAAACUUGACCUUUCACCCUUAUUCGGAAGUUAUUGUACUCAGUCAUUGUGUUGCCUUCAAAAUAAUAAUCAUGCCAAGACAAAAGGCAUCAACUAACAUUUGAUCGCUCACUUAGUUGCUGAUCACCUAAUCCACCUAAUUUUUUACAUGACAAACGUAGACAGAGAUGACAUCGAUCCAACAAAGUAGUUUUACAUGUGGGAGGAUAAUGAUUUGCAACCAUUUU
Esox lucius (northern pike) is the source of this 3570-nucleotide long non-coding RNA. Lineage: Eukaryota; Metazoa; Chordata; Actinopteri; Esociformes; Esocidae. The record is from Ensembl.